RNAcentral lists this ribosomal RNA (803 nucleotides) under Nigrospora musae. RNAcentral describes it as "eukaryotic LSU rRNA". It matches the Rfam family "Eukaryotic large subunit ribosomal RNA", at positions 87 to 917 of the family's 3401-position model. The record is from RNAcentral. Lineage: Eukaryota; Fungi; Ascomycota; Sordariomycetes; Amphisphaeriales; Apiosporaceae.
CGGCGAGUGAAGCGGGAACAGCUCAAAUUUGAAAUCUGGCCCUCGGGUCCGAGUUGUAAUUUGUAGAGGAUGCUUUUGGUGCGGUGCCUUCCGAGUUCCCUGGAACGGGACGCCUUAGAGGGUGAGAGCCCCGUACGGUUGGACGCCUAGCCUCUGUAAAGCUCCUUCGACGAGUCGAGUAGUUUGGGAAUGCUGCUCUAAAUGGGAGGUAUAUUUCUUCUAAAGCUAAAUACUGGCCAGAGACCGAUAGCGCACAAGUAGAGUGAUCGAAAGAUGAAAAGCACUUUGAAAAGAGGGUUAAAUAGCACGUGAAAUUGUUGAAAGGGAAGCGUUUAUCACCAGACUUUUUCUGGGGGGAUCAUCCGGUGUUCUCACCGGUGCACUUCCCCCAGUUGAGGCCAGCAUCGGUUUUCGGAGGGGGAUAAAAGCUUCGGGAAUGUGACUCCCUCGGGAGUGUUAUAGCCCGUUGCAUAAUACCCUUCUGGGGACCGAGGUUCGCGCAUCUGCAAGGAUGCUGGCAUAAUGGUGAUCAACGACCCGUCUUGAAACACGGACCAAGGAGUCGAACAUUUAUGCGAGUGUUUGGGUGUCAAACCCUCACGCGUAAUGAAAGUGAACGGAGGUGAGAGCCCUUACGGGUGCAUCAUCGACCGAUCCUGAUGUCUUCGGAUGGAUUUGAGUAAGAGCAUAACUGUUCGGACCCGAAAGAUGGUGAACUAUGCGUGGAUAGGGUGAAGCCAGGAGAAAUCCUGGUGGAGGCUCGCAGCGGUUCUGACGUGCAAAUCGAUCGUCAAAUCUGCGCA